RNAcentral lists this ribosomal RNA (474 nucleotides) under uncultured bacterium. Its description in RNAcentral is "bacterial SSU rRNA". It matches the Rfam family "Bacterial small subunit ribosomal RNA", at positions 355 to 825 of the family's 1533-position model. The record is from RNAcentral.
UGGGGAAUAUUGCGCAAUGGGCGAAAGCCUGACGCAGCAACGCCGCGUGAGUGAUGAAGGCCUUCGGGUCGUAAAGCUCUGUCGGAGGGAACGAAUGCUCUUGAGGUUAACAGCCUCGGGAGGUGACGGUACCCUCAAAGGAAGCACCGGCUAACUCUGUGCCAGCAGCCGCGGUAAUACAGAGGGUGCGAGCGUUGUCCGGAUUUAUUGGGCGUAAAGAGCUCGUAGGCGGUUGCGUAAGUCGGAUGUGAAAACUCAGGGCUCAACCCUGAGACGCCAUCCGAUACUGCGCUGACUUGAAUCCAGUAGGGGAGUGUGGAAUUCCUGGUGUAGCGGUGAAAUGCGCAGAUAUCAGGAGGAACACCCAUGGCGAAGGCAGCACUCUGGGCUGGUAUUGACGCUGAGGAGCGAAAGCAUGGGUAGCGAACAGGAUUAGAUACCCCCGUAGUCCCUGAGCGGGCUGGCAAGGCGCAU